AACGCUGGCGGCGUGCCUAAUACAUGCAAGUCGAACGGUCUUUCUAUGGAAGCUUGCUUCCACUGAGAAGAUAGUGGCGAACGGGUGAGUAACACGUGGGUAACCUGCCCAUAAGAGGGGGAUAACAUCCGGAAACGGGUGCUAAUACCGCAUAGUUUUCUUGAUCGCAUGAUCGGGAAAGGAAAGACGGCCUUUGUGCUGUCGCUUAUGGAUGGACCCGCGGCGUAUUAGUUAGUUGGUGAGGUAACGGCUCACCAAGACGAUGAUACGUAGCCGACCUGAGAGGGUGAUCGGCCACAUUGGGGCUGAGACACGGCCCAAACUCCUACGGGAGGCAGCAGUAGGGAAUCUUCCGCAAUGGACGAAAGUCUGACGGAGCAACGCCGCGUGAGUGAAGAAAGGUUUUCGGAUCGUAAAACUCUGUUGUCAGAGAAGAACAAGUUGGAGAGUAACUGCUCCAGCCUUGACGGUAUCUGACCAGAAAGCCACGGCUAACUACGUGCCAGCCGCUGC
RNAcentral lists this ribosomal RNA (513 nucleotides) under uncultured bacterium. Its description in RNAcentral is "bacterial SSU rRNA". It matches the Rfam family "Bacterial small subunit ribosomal RNA", at positions 32 to 518 of the family's 1533-position model. The record is from RNAcentral.